Sus scrofa (pig) is the source of this 4567-nucleotide non-coding RNA. The record is from RefSeq and is a predicted model, not a curated record. Lineage: Eukaryota; Metazoa; Chordata; Mammalia; Artiodactyla; Suidae.
AGCUGCUCUUAUUUAUGUUACAAUGUCUGUAUUUAUUAUAUUUUCAAGUACGCUUAACAAUUGGAUACCAUUUUCUAAAAGGGUUCUUAGUCAGACUGAAACUCCUAACACACUCCUCUUCUCUUUUAGCCCACGAGUCUGGGUUUGAAGAAAAAUAUCCUUUAUGUUUCUGUGAAGACUGGCUUUAUUUCUAAUUAAGUGAGAGUUUACAAUUAGAGGUAAACCUGAUGGCAGGUAGUCCGGCAGCAGCCUCGAAGUAAAAAUGACAAAUAGCAGUUCCCCACUUAAGAAAAUAACAUUCUGUUGAUUGACCGACACCCUUUAAAUUUUAGCUAUUAACAACUCUUACAGAAACAGGAACUGCCAAUAACAAACUUGAUUUCCAACGUCCCCAAGGUAAUAAUAAUCCACUAAUUUGACUAUAUCCCAGCUGGCCCUCUGUAGCAGUUUCUAGCUGGUUUUUGAAGCGGUGAAGCCUUAUCUUUCUUGGGGGGCGGGGGAACACAGAGAGGGUGGGCAGUGAAGUUUAGAAGGAGUGUGGAGAGAAAACACAUGGAAAUGUAAUGUGAAAGUUUCUUGUUGCAAUAAAGCUGUGAGGUUUGGCAUGAAGACUGUUAUCAGAUGGUUCCUUUGACAUUCCUUGAGCCUUUCAGCGCAUCUUCUUUCACCAGCUUUUGAGACGGAAGGAGAGGUGGUUAAGGCGUAGAAGACAACUUCAACCCCGCGUUGAUCACAAAGUUCCUGCUUUUUAAAGACAAGUGAGCCAGCCAAGCUGUAAGGCUAAUCACCCUGGGCAAGUAUGAGUUUAUCUAAAGAGGAUUUCAUGUGGAACCCCCGGAGCCGGCCCGCCAAACGGAUGACUGCACACUUUAAGAAAGUUAGUGGGCCUUCUCCCAAUCAACUGUCAGGCCACAUAAAAGGUCUGGAACGCGCUGACUUAAGCAAAUGAUAUUUCGCCAUCUAAGGAGACCAGAAGGCCCAAGAUUUCGCUUUGUUGGAGCUGACAGGAAAUAUUGAUACGUAUCGAGUAACAUUCCUGGUGGAAAAAGGAAGAUGUGAUUCUUUCGCCACUGUCUCUAUUUACAAAACUGUCUUGUGCUUUGGAAACAAGGUGGGGGCAGGGGAGACGCCAAACCCAACACUUCACUUGGGACCUUUCCAGCGUUCCUGGGACGGCCAUUUAGUGAAAAUAGGACUCAAGCUCCACUCGUCUCUUUUUAAAAGCACAAAAUGCACUGGGAUUGGAAUUUGCAAAUUCUCUGAAGGUCUAGCCGACAGGUGGACUUUGUCCAUCACCCUAAAUCUAUUCCUUAUUAACCUCAAAAAGCUGCCAGGGUUUCUGUUGGUGUGUUAUGAUGCCAAAGUGUCUUAGAAAUAUCUGGCUUUCAAGUCUAAAGAGCAAGUGAACAGGUCCUAGGAAACAAAGUUCUAGUCUUGUCAGAAAUAAUGUUCAUAAGCCUAAUGGUUCAUCACUUUCAGUAUUUUAGCUGCUCGGGGGAGGGGUGGGAGGAUGCAUGAUGCCCUGUAUUGGUAAAGUCUGAUGGGCAGCCCUGAGCCUUCACCGUAAAAAUAAGGUGGGGUUGGAGGGUUUCAUUUAAAAAGGGGCGGGAGGAACACCUUAUUUUAUCAGCGUAUUUCAACAUUCUCUAUCAGUAAUGUUGUGCCUGAGGUGAUAGCCUUGAAGAUGCUGGAGGUGGCAGUGUUAAUGAAAUACCCAUUGGCAUUAAGCGACAUUUCUAGAAUCCUGAUAGUAGGACUAGAAAGGAAAGUGAAAUGUGUAACAGCACAAUAAACAAGGGAAACUGCUGAAAAGAACCUGCUUGUUCUGUGAGGAAGAUCGCUUCCAGUUAAACAAAGAAAUUUAGGGUCGUCUGCUUUUCAUGAAAAUCGCAUACAUAUGGCCUUUGAAAUUUGUCACUGAAGACGGUUUUGCUCUAAGGUAAAAUUCACCACUUUAUAGCUUUUCAGCUGCACAUCUCUGGCUUUUUUUUUUUUUCUUCUCUCUUUUGGCCUGCAGCCCAAUAUGAAUGUAUGAUCACUAGCACAAUAGUUAGAAACAUCUGAGUCUUUUUGAAGUGCCUUCAAUGUUACAAUGAUGUGAUGGUCGAUUGCCUAGCCGUCAGUUUAGAAAAGAACUUCAUUCUGCCCCCUAGUGGUAGAGAUUAAAGUUUAAUGACUACUUCAUAAUACAUAAAGCCUCCUUCCCCCCACCCCCAUCCCCAUACUCUAAGAACGUAAUGUAGUGCGGAAAGUACUAAUGAGUUUCUUCUUAAUCCGCAAAAUGUAUAUUUUCACAGGAAUAUUACAGCCGAAUGGACCGUUUUAUAAACCACAGUGUCAUUCAAUAUACCUUUCAGGCACUUAGCUGUGCUUUGCUGAAUAAUAUGGACUGCCACUAUAAAUAGGCAUUUUUCCCACUACCAGAUCCCUCCUGGAAAAAUUCUGGGACUUCUUAAUGGGAGUUUCUUACCAAGGAGCAUAUGGCAUUGCCAAAGUAAUUGGGAAAAAAAAGUACACACACACACACAGACACACACACAGACACACACACACACACACACACACACACGUAUUCAAAGAAAGCCAGGUACACCAAAGUAUAGAAAGGGUUUGUGAUGUCAACAAUGUUUUUGAUAUGGGGAAUGUUGAUUACAUCUAGCUAUUUGGGAGCUGACCACAAAGUAGAAGGGAUUUGUUUGGGCUUUUUUUUUUUUUUUUUUAAGUCCUGUCCUGGCUUUGUUUUACUUGUUUAUGCAUUUGUUAAAAACCAUUCAUGUAGAUUUCAUAUCCUGCAUGCUGGUGAGCAUGUCAAAGCACAUGAAAUCAAGCCCUCAUAACAGAGAAAUCACCCAGUGUGCAUGGAUGUUUAGUCUUACACAAGUGAAAGCUCAUGUAGGAGAAAGAUGGAGAAGGCUGAGAAGGAGAAGGAAGAGGAAGAGGAAGAGGAGGGGUCCAUGGAGAGAGGACAGGGCAGCUGGACCAUGUGUAAUGUAAUGUGUCAGUGUGUGUCUGUGCCACUAUUGUGCUGCUGAUGCUGGAAUGCCAGGAAGGUGCUACUUUAUUGAAUAAGGACCCAUGUAAAUUUGAGCUGUCGACAUGGGAUCACUCCUUUGGACAAAGAGAGAAGUUUUCUCCUUACCCAUAUUUGAUUUCUAGUCACAGCUACAUGUUUUUCUGAGUCCUUUUGCCACCAGGCUGUAUCUAGGUAGCUGGGCAGGUUUUGGACACCCUUGUCUUUUCAGACUGGUUCUGCAGGUUUAGUUAGUACCUGGUUUGUGACAGUGUAUGGACUGGCAUUCCAAGACAUGAAGUCAGGAUUUUUUCAGGAAAUAGGUUAUGUCUAUAAGGCUAUCAAGUCAUCAUUAGUGUUUGUGAAGAAGCAGACUGGCUAUUGUUUUAUUUAUGUCCACUGUGAUAGGUGAAUGCUUUACUCAAAGAGAAUGGGUCAAAACAAAAAUUAAUACAUUAGAUGGAUUUUUUUUAUUAUGAAGUAUGUCCCCUAGGUUAUAACCAUGUCAAUUUAAUUCCUUUCUUUAAAAACUGCUCUGGGGAACCACGUGAUCCACACAGGGCCAGAGAAACCCUCACUUCUUAUCACUCCUCCUAGCUUUCUAGCUUCCCCCCACCCCCUGGGCUCCAAGUGGUUUGAAAGAGGCUGCUGACAUUUCUGAGAUUUGGAGUGGGGUUCUGGGAAGCUCUCGGCAAACUGGAAAGGGAGGAGGAAGAGGAGAAGGAGAGGAGAAAAGCAUCCUCUGAGUAAGACCAACUCCAAAGCAGCUUGAGUCUCAUGGGAGUUUAAUUAGAGAAAGAAUUUCAGCCCUGUUCACACAGGGAAGAUUAUUCAUACUAGGAGAUCUCAGAUGCAAAUUUUUUUUUUUUUAAUAAUAGGACGCCUAGAACAUUUUGUGGUAUAUUAGGAUUGCAGCCUUUCUUUCUCCUCAUUGCAGAAUUUCAUUUCUGAAAACAACCCAAAAUGUCACAGCUCUCCUGGUGUCACUGAUGUGGCAGUUCCUACAACUCUGGCUGAAGGCAGCAAAUGGGACUUGGAUGACUUCUUUUUUUAACUCCAAUUACAUAGGUACAGAUUAUAUAUAUAUUUCAGUUUAUGUUAUUCAGCAUUUUAAUGAUGUCCACAAAAGUACUUUCUAGAAAUAUAUGGUUAAACAUACAGAGAGAAAGGAGAGAUUUCUGGGGUGAGAGAUGCCUAAACAAAUUAUUUGGACCUAAAGAAAUCAUUUGGUUAAUUUGUAACCAAAGAAAAUCUACUGAAAUUUAGAAAAGCUUUGGAGAUACUUGGCUAUAUUGAUUUUUAAAAUCGAAGUGUAUGGGAGUUCCCUUUGUGGCUCAGUGUAACAAACCUGACUAGUAUCUAUGAGGAUGCAGGUUUGAUCCCUGGCCUGGCCUCCCUCAGUGGGUUAAGGAUCUGGUGUUGCCAUGAACUGUGGUGUAGGUCACAGAUUUGGCUUGGAUCCUACAUUGCUGUGGCUGUGGUGUAGGCGGGCACCUGCUCCUCCAAUUAGACCCCUAGCCUGGGAACUUCCAUAUGCCACAGUGAGGUCCUAAAAAG